AGGCUGCAGUCGAGAUCAUUCGCAAUGGGCGAAGCCUGACGAUGCGACGCCGUGUGUAUGAUGAAGGCCUUCGGGUCGUAAAGUACUUUCGCCUGGGAACAAGAGAGGCUGGCUAAUAUCCAGCUAAUUUGAGGGUACCAGGUAAAGAAGCACCGGCUAACUCC
Molecule: ribosomal RNA, 164 nt
Filed under: uncultured Chlamydiales bacterium
Lineage: Bacteria; Pseudomonadati; Chlamydiota; Chlamydiia; Chlamydiales
Description: partial 16S ribosomal RNA
Rfam family: Bacterial small subunit ribosomal RNA
Source: RNAcentral